Molecule: ribosomal RNA, 253 nt
Filed under: uncultured bacterium
Lineage: Bacteria
Description: partial 16S ribosomal RNA
Rfam family: Bacterial small subunit ribosomal RNA
Source: RNAcentral
UACGUAGGGACCAAGCGUUGUUCGGAUUUACUGGGCGUAAAGCGUGCGCAGGCGGUCCGCAAAGUCUGAUGUGAAAGCCCCGGGCUCAACCUGGGAACUGCAUUGGAAACUAACGGGCUCGAGUGUGGCAGAGGGGGGUGGAAUUCCACGUGUAGCAGUGAAAUGCGUAGAGAUGUGGAGGAACACCGAUGGCGAAGGCAGCCCCCUGGGCUAACACUGACGCUCAGGCACGAAAGCGUGGGGAGCAAACAGG